RNAcentral lists this ribosomal RNA (253 nucleotides) under uncultured bacterium. RNAcentral's name for it is "partial 16S ribosomal RNA". It matches the Rfam family "Bacterial small subunit ribosomal RNA", at positions 524 to 776 of the family's 1533-position model. The record is from RNAcentral.
UACGUAGGGUGCGAGCGUUAAUCGGAAUUACUGGGCGUAAAGCGUGCGCAGGCGGCUUUGCAAGACAGAUGUGAAAUCCCCGGGCUCAACCUGGGAACUGCAUUUGUGACUGUAUAGCUAGAGUACGGGAGAGGGGGAUGGAAUUCCGCGUGUAGCAGUGAAAUGCGUAGAUAUGCGGAGGAACACCGAUGGCGAAGGCAAUCCCCUGGACCUGUACUGACGCUCAUGCACGAAAGCGUGGGGAGCAAACAGG